RNAcentral lists this unclassified non-coding RNA (253 nucleotides) under uncultured Alphaproteobacteria bacterium. RNAcentral describes it as "contains 16S-23S intergenic spacer region". It matches the Rfam family "Bacterial small subunit ribosomal RNA", at positions 524 to 776 of the family's 1533-position model. Lineage: Bacteria; Pseudomonadati; Pseudomonadota; Alphaproteobacteria. The record is from RNAcentral.
UACGGAGGGGGCUAGCGUUGUCCAGAAUUACUGGGCGUAAAGCGCACGUAGGCGGAUUGGUAAGUCAGAGGUGAAAUCCCGGGGCUCAACUCCGGAACUGCCUUUGAUACUGCCAGUCCUGAGUUCGAGAGAGGUGAGUGGAAUUCCUAGUGUAGAGGUGAAAUUCGCAGAUAUUAGGAAGAACACCAGUGGCGAAGGCGGCUCACUGGCUCGAUACUGACGCUGAGGUGCGAAAGCGUGGGGAGCAAACAGG